GAGACAGAGUAAUAGACUUCGGAAAGUACAAGGGCAAGAUGCUUGGCGCCCUCCCCUCAACCUACCUCAAAUGGGUUUCCAAGAACCUUCGUGCGGGCGACUUCGAGCACUGGGCAAAGUUAGCAGACCAAGUUCUUGAAGACCCAGUUUAUCAGGACAGAUUGGAGUGGGAAUUUGCAGAUAGCGUCUUGAAUGGAAACAAAGAUGCCCCUUUUUUUAGAAAGGAUAGUGCAGUUCCUCUGUUGUUGGAGAUAAGUGAGAGGUUUGGUUGGGACAAUGAUGAUAAAGUUGGG
RNAcentral lists this unclassified non-coding RNA (293 nucleotides) under Hevea brasiliensis (rubber tree). Lineage: Eukaryota; Viridiplantae; Streptophyta; Magnoliopsida; Malpighiales; Euphorbiaceae. The record is from RNAcentral.